UUGAACACUCCAGAACAUGCCAUAUUUUAAAAGCAUUUCAUUUACAGGAAUUAGCAUGAACCUAGAAAAUGCUGCAGCAAAUUACUUCAGUUUUUACAGUGCUUUGAACUUGGAAAGACUGGGUAAUUGCAACUUCGUAUUAAAGGAAGGUCUACCUCAGCCACCUCAUGAGAACCCACUGAAGUUGUGCUGUGGUGUAAAAUCAACAGGUGUGUGUUGCAGGUGAAUAUUACUUACAAGCACUCGCUGAAUUGUGGAUGAAUCUGCCUAAGGCUGGAACACCAGUUUCAUUAGGACAAUCAUGGAGUUUCCCUUUUCAUUCUGCUCCCACAGCACAUCACCCAUGCAGAGUUCACCACAGAACUGCAGGCUAUCUUUAGAUCCUUUAAUCCAUUCAUGAUAACAUGUUGAUCAUCAUCUGCUGCCCAAUUUGUCAUCCCUGAACACCCCGGAUUUAAUGGCAUCCUAAAUAUCCUGAGCACUUUGAAUCUGUAUCGAGACAGAAAAUUAUUCUAGAAAGGAAAGCAGUAGCUGCUGUUUGUUUAAUACAUAAGGAGUUAAAAACACUUGAAAAAACGCAGCUUCAUCAGAAUCAGUUUUGCGUGACAUGCUGAAUAUACAACCUUUGGAACAAAAAGAAGUGUCAGA
Molecule: long non-coding RNA, 648 nt
Organism: Vidua chalybeata
Lineage: Eukaryota; Metazoa; Chordata; Aves; Passeriformes; Viduidae
Exons: 3
Source: RefSeq, a predicted model, not a curated record